AAAGUCGUAACAAGGUUUCCGUAGGUGAACCUGCGGAAGGAUCAUUGCCGAACGGACGCGCGCCUCGCUGCCCUCCUCGCUUCCGCGAGUGGUCUGGCCGGCCGCGUCUUAUCGCACACCCAUGUGAACUCGUGAUCGUGACCCUGGACGGUGGCCGCCGCCGCGCGCGCGCGCCGCCGAUCCGGCUCCUUUCAUACAUUACAAACCACGCGAACAACCUCUUGACUGAGACAAACAGGGUCACGCCUAAAAACGCGACUCGACAAGACAUAACCUAUCACAACUUUUAACAACGGAUAUCUUGGCUCGC
This 310-nucleotide unclassified non-coding RNA is filed under the name Basidiomycota sp. Its description in RNAcentral is "partial contains small subunit ribosomal RNA, internal transcribed spacer 1, and 5.8S ribosomal RNA". The stretch from base 1 to 47 matches the Rfam family "Eukaryotic small subunit ribosomal RNA", at positions 1785 to 1831 of the family's 1831-position model. Lineage: Eukaryota; Fungi; Basidiomycota. The record is from RNAcentral.